RNAcentral lists this ribosomal RNA (119 nucleotides) under Pteropus alecto (black flying fox). Lineage: Eukaryota; Metazoa; Chordata; Mammalia; Chiroptera; Pteropodidae. The record is from RNAcentral.
GUCUAUGGCCAUGCCACCCUGAACGUGCCUGAUCUCGUCUGAUCUCAGAAGCUAAGCAGAGUCGGGCCUGGUUAGUACUUGGAUGGGAGACCACCUAGGAAUACCAGGUGCUGUAGGCA